AUACGUAGGUGGCAAGCGUUGUCCGGAUUUACUGGGCGUAAAGAGCGCGCAGGCGGCCAAGGAAGUCGAAUGUGAAAGCCCCCGGCUCAACUGGGGAAGGUCAUUCGAUACUGUUUGGCUUGAAGAUAGGAGAGGGAAGUGGAAUUUCAGGUGUAGUGGUGAAAUGCGUAGAUAUCUGAAGGAACACCAGUGGCGAAGGCGACUUUCUGGCCUAUUCUUGACGCUGAGGCGCGAAAGCUAGGGGAGCGAACGGGAUUAGAUACCCCAGUAGUCC
This 274-nucleotide ribosomal RNA is filed under the name uncultured bacterium. RNAcentral describes it as "partial 16S ribosomal RNA". It matches the Rfam family "Bacterial small subunit ribosomal RNA", at positions 523 to 796 of the family's 1533-position model. The record is from RNAcentral.